CCCUAGAAUAGCCACGUCGGUGUUCUUUCGAGAACCUAAUAGAGAAUCCGCCGUGGCCUGGCCGCGAAACGGAACUGCCCCCGCAACUGUAGGCGGCGAGCGAUGCUCGACAAUGCCACUGGACGCUAUGUCUGGGAAGGUGAGCUAGCGACGACCCGUCAGUCAGGAGACCUGCCGACACCCUAACCUUCAU
Molecule: non-coding RNA, 193 nt
Filed under: Halomonas sp.
Lineage: Bacteria; Pseudomonadati; Pseudomonadota; Gammaproteobacteria; Oceanospirillales; Halomonadaceae
Source: RNAcentral